GAGACAUGUCAAGGCAAGAGUAAGGGAAAGAGAAAGAGGGAAGGAUUGACAAACCAGCUGAGUCAGUGAAAAAUCGGCUCCGUGUUGCUUGUGGAUUUAAUCGUCACUGGCAACUGGAAACACAGAUGGAGCUGAUUCAAUGGAAACGUUUGGAAGAGAAUUCAGAAUAUGUCUAAAAAACAGAUAAAUGCAGGACCAAGGUUAAGGAAAAAUGCGGAAGUUGGACUAAUUGGACAACUCUUUCAGACCCAGAGUACAGUAGCACAAUGGAGUGAUCCGGAUUCGAUUCCAGCCACUGUCUGUAAGAAGUUUGUACAUCCUCCCCGUGUGACUGCGUGGGUUUCCUCUGGGUGCUCCGGUUUCCUCCCACGUUCCAAAGGUGUAUGGGUUAGGAAGCUGUUGGCAUGCUAUGUUGGUGCCGGAAGCGUAGCGACACUUGCGGGCUGCCCCCAGAACACUCUACGCAAAAAGAUGCAUUUCACUGUGUGUUUCAAUUUACAUGUGACUAAUAAAGAUAUCUUAUCUUAUGUUACUGGAGU
Pristis pectinata (smalltooth sawfish) is the source of this 539-nucleotide long non-coding RNA. RefSeq lists it as uncharacterized. Lineage: Eukaryota; Metazoa; Chordata; Chondrichthyes; Rhinopristiformes; Pristidae. The transcript is spliced from 3 exons. The record is from RefSeq and is a predicted model, not a curated record.